This 1297-nucleotide unclassified non-coding RNA is filed under the name Hevea brasiliensis (rubber tree). The record is from RNAcentral. Lineage: Eukaryota; Viridiplantae; Streptophyta; Magnoliopsida; Malpighiales; Euphorbiaceae.
CACUGGAAAAAACUAUUAUAAUCUUGCAAAAAAAUUUGAGUGUGUCCUUUAGCAACAAGUCAAGCUUUUAGGUGAUCAAAUUUUUCAUGAUGACGAACCUUAUUUGUAUAAAUCCAACAAAAACCAACAGUAGACUUUCGAUGAGGCAAGGGAAUUAAAUCCUAGUACUAUUAGAAUGAAGAUUAGUAAUUUCCUCAACCAUUGCCUUGUGCCUCCUAGGAUGAGAUAAUGCUUCCUUAAUGGUUUUUGGAACUUGGAUAGAGUAAAAUUUGGAACAAAAGCAUAAUAGGGUGAAGACCAAGGAUAAUAAUUAAAGAGAUUGUAAAUGGGAUAAGGAUUAUGAUAAGUACAAAUACCUUUAUGAAGAGCAAUGAGUAGAGUAGCUGCUUCUGCUAGAGGCAUAACCAGUGUAAGUGAUGAUGUUAACAUAAGAGAUAAGUAACCUAGGGCAUUUUGUGGACUUGUAUCAUCAAGAAAAGCAUCAUUCAUGUUAGUUUUAGGAUUUGGAUGAGGUAGUUGUAAAUAGACCUAAAGAGAAGAUGGAAUAGCAUUUGGAGUAGGAAUAAGAGGAACUAGGAGAGCUUUAGAGAUGAAGUUUUGGUUUAUUGCUUAGGUGAGAAGUUCGAAGAUGUUUUAAGAAGGUUACAUCUACUGAUAUGAAAUAUUUUUUUGUGGUUGGCUUAUAAAAUUUGUAACCUUUCUAAAGGUGAGAAUAUCCUAGAAAAAUACAUUUAACAGAUUUUGGUUGAAACUUGUCUUUCCAGGAGCAAGAUUAUGAAUAAGCAAGUACAACCAAACACACAAGGAGAAAGAUGAUAUGGAUUGUGAUAUGGAAACAAACAAGAAUGAACACCCUAAUUCUAUAAAACAGAAGAAGACAUAUGAUUAAUUAACAAGCAGUAAGAACAUCCUCCCAAAAAUGAAAUGGAACAUGAUGAUGCAUGAGUAAAGUACAGACUGUUUCAAUAAGUUGCCAAUCCUUAUGUUUAGCUACUCUAUUUUAUUGAGGGGUACGAGCACAAGAAAUUUGAUAAAUGAUUCCUUAAGAAGAUAUGAAAUAUUGAGAAGGAAGAGAAAAAUAUUCUCAUGUAUUGUUAAUACAUAACACUAAUGGAAACACCAAAUUGAAUAUGUAUCUUAGCUAGGGGCGCAAAUGAACUGAGUCGAGUUGAGCUUUAAAGAGCUCAGGCUUAGUUCAUUAAAAUAUUAUUUUGAGCAAUUUGCCAGUAGCUUGGCUCAUUUACAUCCCUAAUUAGUUUAAGGUUUAGAGUUAUGAAGUUCAAACUAUGUAUUUUUU